This 249-nucleotide ribosomal RNA is filed under the name uncultured Dermocybe. Its description in RNAcentral is "partial 28S ribosomal RNA". It matches the Rfam family "Eukaryotic large subunit ribosomal RNA", at positions 1 to 263 of the family's 3401-position model. Lineage: Eukaryota; Fungi; Basidiomycota; Agaricomycetes; Agaricales; Cortinariaceae. The record is from RNAcentral.
GUGACCUCAAAUCAGGUAGGACUACCCGCUGAACUUAAGCAUAUCAAUAAGCGGAGGAAAAGAAACUAACAAGGAUUCCCCUAGUAACUGCGAGUGAAGCGGGAAAAGCUCAAAUUUAAAAUCUGGCAGUCUUUGGCUGUCCGAGUUGUAAUCUAGAGAAGUGUUAUCCGCGCUGGACCGUGUACAAGUCUCCUGGAAUGGAGCGUCAUAGACACGGACUACCAUGGCUUUGUGAUGCGCUCUCAAAGA